AGAGAGUCUGCCCCAUGCUUCUCUACCUUCUGGUCAAAUCCACACCUGAAGCCACACCCAAAGGGGUGUGACCACUAACACAAAUUCACUGGCAAGGGCCUGGGUGACUGGAAGACUGGAAUUCCUCUGGGCUGGAGCUCCUCUGUGAUUCUACAGGACUGACCACUGCCAGUCCUAAGGAGGAAGAGGUGAUAAUGACUCAACGUGGACAUACUGGGAAGAAAGAAGAAAUUUGGUGAAAUUCUGCAGGGCUGUCCUUGGGAUCCUGUCUGAAGAGAAGGCAAGAGAUGUGCAGAGCCAAACAGUAGUCCUCGGCAAGGCGUGGUCCCGGCCAUUGUCUAGGCUUCAGCCUCUUCUGCAAGGCAGCUCGACAAACCAUGAGAAACGGUGUGAAGCCUCUCUCCAGCAGACACGUUGCCUCCUUGGCGGCGAACCCUGCCUCAUACACUGGGCAUGGUAGUGUAUGCCUAUAAUCAACUAAAGAGGCUGAAGCAGGAAGAUCAAAAAGUAUUCCAGGCCAGCCUGUGGCUAGAUAGCCCAAGCCUGUCUCGAAUAUGGAGAGUUUUCCAGCUCAGUAGAGUGCAUCUACCAUGUUCAGAAGACUACCCAACUCCAUAUGUGAUUCAGCCCAGCUUUUGCCCUCUGAAAUCUUUUGACAAGCCCCAUCUCUCAUCUCCAGUUGGAGUCAUCCUGUCACUGCAAAGACUCAGGAUGGUGCUGAACAGCAAACCAUGUACACAGCCUGGGAUCAGCUUCCAAAGAGCUCUUUGAAGGCUGCUGGGGCUCUAACAAAGUCUCAGAGCAAGACAACAG
RNAcentral lists this long non-coding RNA (813 nucleotides) under Cricetulus griseus (Chinese hamster). Its description in RNAcentral is "lncRNA (ENSCGRG00015029297.1)". Lineage: Eukaryota; Metazoa; Chordata; Mammalia; Rodentia; Cricetidae. The record is from RNAcentral.